This 449-nucleotide ribosomal RNA is filed under the name uncultured bacterium. RNAcentral describes it as "partial 16S ribosomal RNA". It matches the Rfam family "Bacterial small subunit ribosomal RNA", at positions 29 to 523 of the family's 1533-position model. The record is from RNAcentral.
AACGAACGCUGGCGGCAUGCCUAACACAUGCAAGUCGAACGAAGCCUUCGGGCUUAGUGGCGCACGGGUGCGUAACGCGUGGGAAUCUGCCCUUUGGUUCGGAAUAACAGUUGGAAACGACUGCUAAUACCGGAUGAUGACGAAAGUCCAAAGAUUUAUCGCCAGAGGAUGAGCCCGCGUAGGAUUAGCUAGUUGGUGUGGUAAAGGCGCACCAAGGCGACGAUCCUUAGCUGGUCUGAGAGGAUGAUCAGCCACACUGGGACUGAGACACGGCCCAGACUCCUACGGGAGGCAGCAGUGGGGAAUAUUGGACAAUGGGCGAAAGCCUGAUCCAGCAAUGCCGCGCGGGUGAUGAAGGCCCUAGGGUUGUAAAGCUCUUUUACCCGGGAUGAUAAUGACAGUACCGGGAGAAUAAGCCCCGGCUAACUCCGUGCCAGCCGCCGCCGUAA